This 406-nucleotide ribosomal RNA is filed under the name uncultured bacterium. Its description in RNAcentral is "partial 16S ribosomal RNA". It matches the Rfam family "Bacterial small subunit ribosomal RNA", at positions 30 to 526 of the family's 1533-position model. The record is from RNAcentral.
AUUGAACGCUGGUGGCAGGCCUAACACAUGCAAGUCGAACGAGUGGCGGACGGGUGAGUAAUGUAUGGGAAACUGCCUGAUGGAGGGGGAUAAAUACUGGAAAAGGUAGAUAAUACCGCAUAGCAUCAGAUGUGCCCAGAUUGGAUUAGCGAGUAGGUGGGGGAAUGGAUCACAUAGGCGACGAUCCCUAGCUGGUCUGAGAGGGUGACCAGCCACACUGGAACUGAGACACGUUCCAGACUCCUACGGGAGGCAGCAGUGGGGAAUAUUGCACAAGGGGCGCAAGCCUGAUGCAGCCAUGCCGCGUGUGUGAAGAAGGCCUUCGGGUUGUAAAGCACUUUCGGCGAGGAGGCGUUACUCGCAGAAGAAGCACCGGCUAACUCCGUGCCAGCAGCCGCGGUAAUUC